AUGACUAUGCAAAAGCAAGGAGUGUUUCAUAAAAGAGAGAAUAAAGAAAUAUCCAAUACUUUUCUUUUGAUGAGAACAUAUCAAUUGCCAUCAUGUUGCCAACAACCAAAUUUGAUAAAAAUAACAUCACAAUCAGUUUUAAAACUGAAAUUAGAUAAAUAUGGAAUUAUCAUGUUUUGGCUUGAUUUGCAGUUUCACGCACAAAUUAAAUGUAUACCGGUUCUUUAUUAA
Vicia faba (fava bean) is the source of this 231-nucleotide non-coding RNA. NCBI's taxonomy places the organism in Eukaryota, Viridiplantae, Streptophyta, Magnoliopsida, Fabales, Fabaceae. The record is from the annotation of a GenBank genome assembly.